GUGGCUGUGGCUCAGUGGGAGAGCCCGUGCUUCACAUACACAAAGGCCCUGGUUCGAUAUCUGCUGUUUCCAGGUAGGGAU
Podarcis lilfordi (Lilford's wall lizard) is the source of this 81-nucleotide non-coding RNA. The record is from the annotation of a GenBank genome assembly. NCBI's taxonomy places the organism in Eukaryota, Metazoa, Chordata, Lepidosauria, Squamata, Lacertidae.